This 850-nucleotide ribosomal RNA is filed under the name Melanohalea multispora. RNAcentral describes it as "LSU rRNA". It matches the Rfam family "Eukaryotic large subunit ribosomal RNA", at positions 71 to 936 of the family's 3401-position model. The record is from RNAcentral. Lineage: Eukaryota; Fungi; Ascomycota; Lecanoromycetes; Lecanorales; Parmeliaceae.
GGGAUUGCCUCAGUAACGGCGAGUGAAGCGGCAACAGCUCAAAUUUGAAAUCUGGCCUCUUCGGGGUCCGAGUUGUAAUUUGUAGAGAGUGCUUCGGGUGAGACCGCGGUCUAAGUCCAUUGGAACAUGGCGUCCCAGAGGGUGAGAAUCCCGUAUGCGACCGUGGCUCGAGCCCAUGUGAAGCCUCUUCGACGAGUCGAGUUGUUUGGGAAUGCAGCUCUAAAUGGGUGGUAAAUUUCAUCUAAAGCUAAAUACUGGCUGGAGACCGAUAGCGCACAAGUAGAGUGAUCGAAAGAUGAAAAGCACUUUGGAAAGAGAGUUAAACAGUACGUGAAAUUGUUGAAAGGGAAGCGCUUGCAACCAGACCUGCCCGUAGGCGAUCAACCGCUGUUCUCAGCGGUGCACUCGUUCUGCGAUCAGGCCAGCAUCGGUUCGGGCGGCCGGAUAAAGGCCUUGGGAAUGUAGCUCCCUUUCGGGGGAGUCUUAUAGCCCUCGGUGCAAUGCGGCCAGCCGGGACCGAGGACCGCGCUUCGGCUAGGAUGCUGGCGUAAUGGUUGUAAGCGACCCGUCUUGAAACACGGACCAAGGAGUCUAACAUCUAUGCGAGUGUUUGGGUGUCAAACCCAUGCGCGGAAUGAAAGUGAACGGAGGUGAGAACCCUGUCGGGCGCAUCAUCGACCGAUCCAGAUGUCUUCGGAUGGAUUUGAGUAUGAGCAUAGCUGUUGGGACCCGAAAGAUGGUGAACUAUACUUGAAUAGGGUGAAGCCAGAGGAAACUCUGGUGGAGGCUCGCAGCGGUUCUGACGUGCAAAUCGAUCGUCAAAUUUGGGUAUAGGGGCGAAAGACUAAUC